Molecule: ribosomal RNA, 483 nt
Filed under: uncultured bacterium
Lineage: Bacteria
Description: partial 16S ribosomal RNA
Rfam family: Bacterial small subunit ribosomal RNA
Source: RNAcentral
GACGAACGCUGGCGGCGUGCUUAACACAUGCAAGUCGAACGAUGAAGCCCAGCUUGCUGGGUGGAUUAGUGGCGAACGGGUGAGAAACACGUGGGCAACCUGCCCCAAACUCUGGGAUAACUCCUCGAAAGAGGUGCUAAUACCGGAUACGAACUAGACAGACAUCUGUACUAGUUGGAAAGUUUUUCGGUUUGGGAUGGGCCCGCGGCCUAUCAGCUUGUUGGUGAGGUAACGGCUCACCAAGGCUACGACGGGUAACCGGCCUGAGAGGGGCGACCGGUCACACUGGGACUGAGACACGGCCCAGACUCCUACGGGAGGCAGCAGUGGGGAAUAUUGCGCAAUGGGCGAAAGCCUGACGCAGCGACGCCGCGUGAGGGAUGAAGGUCUUCGGAUCGUAAACCUCUUUCAGUAGGGACGAAGCGAAAGUGACGGUACCUAAAGAAGAAGCACCGGCUAUCUACGUGCCAGCCGCCGCGGUAA